UGGCGGCAGGCCUAACACAUGCAAGUCGAGCGGUAACAGAAAGUAGCUUGCUACUUUGCUGACGAGCGGCGGACGGGUGAGUAAUGCCUAGGGAUCUGCCCAGUCGAGGGGGAUAACAGUUGGAAACGACUGCUAAUACCGCAUACGCCCUACGGGGGAAAGGAGGGGACCUUCGGGCCUUUCGCGAUUGGAUGAACCUAGGUGGGAUUAGCUAGUUGGUAAGGUAAUGGCUUACCAAGGCGACGAUCCCUAGCUGUUCUGAGAGGAUGAUCAGCCACACUGGGACUGAGACACGGCCCAGACUCCUACGGGAGGCAGCAGUGGGGAAUAUUGCACAAUGGGGGAAACCCUGAUGCAGCCAUGCCGCGUGUGUGAAGAAGGCCUUCGGGUUGUAAAGCACUUUCAGUAGGGAGGAAAGGUAGCAGCUUAAUACGUUGUUACUGUGACGUUACCUACAGAAGAAGGACCGGCUAACUUCGUGCCAGCAGCCGCGGUAAUAC
Molecule: ribosomal RNA, 500 nt
Filed under: uncultured marine bacterium
Lineage: Bacteria
Description: bacterial SSU rRNA
Rfam family: Bacterial small subunit ribosomal RNA
Source: RNAcentral